This 807-nucleotide ribosomal RNA is filed under the name Colletotrichum gloeosporioides. Its description in RNAcentral is "eukaryotic LSU rRNA". The stretch from base 455 to 608 matches the Rfam family "5.8S ribosomal RNA". The record is from RNAcentral. Lineage: Eukaryota; Fungi; Ascomycota; Sordariomycetes; Glomerellales; Glomerellaceae.
CAGGCAACACUAUCAAAUUGCGGGAACACCCUUAAAGACCUCAACACCAAGCGUCAUGGGAAACCAUGGCGUGGCCGAGCUAAUAGCCCCGGGUAUGGGUAACACCUUGAGGUAUGAAGCCUUCGCAAAGAGUAAGUAAAAUGGCACUCGGCUUCCAAAGGCGAACCUGCGUAAAGAAUCAUAAACCCAUAGAUGCGGUUCACGCUUUCUUUUUUUUUUUUUUUUUGAAGUAAAAGUCGUAACAAGGUCUCCGUUGGUGAACCAGCGGAGGGAUCAUUAUCGAGUUACCGCUCCUUAUAACCCUUUGUGAACAUACCCCAAACGUUGCCUCGGCGGGCAGCCGGAGCCCAGCUCCGUCGCCCGGAGCCGCCGUCUCGGCGCGCCCCACCCGCCGGCGGACCACCAAACUCUAUUUAAACGACGUCUCUUCUGAGUGGCACAAGCAAAUAAUCAAAACUUUUAACAACGGAUCUCUUGGUUCUGGCAUCGAUGAAGAACGCAGCGAAAUGCGAUAAGUAAUGUGAAUUGCAGAAUUCAGUGAAUCAUCGAAUCUUUGAACGCACAUUGCGCCCGCCAGCAUUCUGGCGGGCAUGCCUGUUCGAGCGUCAUUUCAACCCUCAAGCACCGCUUGGCGUUGGGGCCCUACGGCUUCCGUAGGCCCCGAAAUACAGUGGCGGACCCUCCCGGAGCCUCCUUUGCGUAGUAACAUACCACCUCGCACUGGGAUCCGGAGGGACUCCUGCCGUAAAACCCCCCAAUUUUCCAAAGGUUGACCUCGGAUCAGGUAGGAAUACCCGCUGAACUUAA